AAAUAAAUAACUAAAUGCAAGUAUGUUAGUUACAAUAACAUAAUGAUCGUACGAUCUUUAUUUU
RNAcentral lists this transfer RNA (64 nucleotides) under Singhiella simplex. Its description in RNAcentral is "tRNA-Val". The record is from RNAcentral. Lineage: Eukaryota; Metazoa; Arthropoda; Insecta; Hemiptera; Aleyrodidae.